AGUGAACGCUGGCGGUAGGCCUAACACAUGCAAGUCGAACGGCAGCACAGUAAGAGCUUGCUCUUACGGGUGGCGAGUGGCGGACGGGUGAGGAAUACAUCGGAAUCUACUUUUUCGUGGGGGAUAACGUAGGGAAACUUACGCUAAUACCGCAUACGACCUACGGGUGAAAGCAGGGGAUCUUCGGACCUUGCGCGAUUGAAUGAGCCGAUGUCGGACUAGCUAGUUGGCGGGGUAAAGGCCCACCAAGGCGACGUUCCGUAGCUGGUCUGAGAGGAUGAUCAGCCACACUGGAACUGAGACACGGUCCAGACUCCUACGGGAGGCAGCAGUGGGGAAUAUUGGACAAUGGGCGCAAGCCUGAUCCAGCCAUACCGCGUGGGUGAAGAAGGCCUUCGGGUUGUAAAGCCCUUUUGUUGGGAAAGAAAAGCAGCAGGUUAAUACCCCGCUGUUCUGACGGUACCCAAAGAAUAAGCACCGGCUAACUUCGUG
Molecule: ribosomal RNA, 492 nt
Filed under: uncultured bacterium
Lineage: Bacteria
Description: partial 16S ribosomal RNA
Rfam family: Bacterial small subunit ribosomal RNA
Source: RNAcentral